GCUGGGGUCGCAUAGCCCGGUCAGUGCGGCAGGUUGCUAACCUGUUGUGGCUUCGCCACACGAGAGUUCAAAUCUCUCCCCCGGCG
This 86-nucleotide transfer RNA is filed under the name Candidatus Micrarchaeota archaeon CG06_land_8_20_14_3_00_50_6. RNAcentral's name for it is "tRNA-Ser". It matches the Rfam family "tRNA". Rfam says of the family: Transfer RNA (tRNA) molecules are approximately 80 nucleotides in length. Their secondary structure includes four short double-helical elements and three loops (D, anti-codon, and T loops). The record is from RNAcentral. Lineage: Archaea; Nanobdellati; Microcaldota. RNAcentral also lists the same sequence under 1 other name.